RNAcentral lists this unclassified non-coding RNA (332 nucleotides) under soil metagenome. RNAcentral's name for it is "partial contains 5.8S ribosomal RNA, internal transcribed spacer 2, and large subunit ribosomal RNA". The stretch from base 1 to 120 matches the Rfam family "5.8S ribosomal RNA", at positions 35 to 154 of the family's 154-position model. The record is from RNAcentral.
GAUGAAGAACGUAGCAAAAUGCGAUAAGUAAUGUGAAUUGCAGAAUUCAGUGAAUCAUCGAAUCUUUGAACGCACAUUGCGCCCGCCAGUAUUCUGGCGGGCAUGCCUGUUCGAGCGUCAUUUUAACCCUCAAGCACAGCUUGGUGUUGGGACUCGCGUUAAUUCGCGUUCCUCAAAUUGAUUGGCGGUCACGUCGAGCUUCCAUAGCGUAGUAGUAAAACCCUCGUUACUGGUAAUCGUCGCGGCCACGCCGUUAAACCCCAACUUCUGAAUGUUGACCUCGGAUCAGGUAGGAAUACCCGCUGAACUUAAGCAUAUCAAUAAGCGGAGGA